Long non-coding RNA from Pseudophryne corroboree (corroboree frog), 853 nucleotides. RefSeq lists it as uncharacterized. The record is from RefSeq and is a predicted model, not a curated record. The transcript has 3 exons. Lineage: Eukaryota; Metazoa; Chordata; Amphibia; Anura; Myobatrachidae.
CAACUGAUGAGCACCAUCAAUUCUGGUCAGGGUUCAUCGAUCUCUACCAUGAAAACGAGUGCCUGCGGCAUGUCAGAAGUCCGGACUAUGCCAACAGAACAAAGAGAAAUCGGGCAUAUCAACAGCUCAUCCAGUACAGUAGAGGCAGAAACUAUGUUGCCGAUGUGCCUUGGGUGAAGAAAAUAGCAAAUUUCCAAACAGUCUUUGUAAAGGAACACAAAAAGGUGCAGGAAUCGCAGCAAUCCGGAGCCAGGACAGAUGAGGUCUAUAAGCCGACGCUGUGGUACUAUGACCAAUUGAAGUUCAUUUUGGAGCAAUAGUUGUGGGUAAGGUCACGGGACACUCUGGAUCCAGAGAUCUCCAGUUCUUGUAGAAGAGGAGGCCCAGGAUAGUCUGGAUCUGGAACUUACCCCAGAGCAAGAACAAGCCGCAUGGCGAGAAGGACCACUUCUGCCCCCUAUCUGCAUAGGCCCCCGGACGUGGAUCAACAGUUCCGCAUUUUAUUGCAGCGGAGAUGCGGUUGAUGACCAAGGAUCAAAAGAUUAUCCACAGACGUUCUGUCGGAAAAAUCUGCUGGUGACCUUAUCCUAUGCUCUUGCUCCAAGUGAACUUUAUUGAGGUCAUUAAUACUGCAACGUCGGUUUUGUGACCUCACUGUCCCGGACUACUGAUCGUUGUGAUCACUGCACUUCUCGUGUUCCUUCAAGACUGUUUGGAAAUUUGCUGUUUGUUGAAAUUUGUUCGCACUGGGUUUGCCUCUACUGUACUGGGAUAUGCCCGAUUCCUGUUCUGUUGGCAUAGUCCCUGUAAAAAGGCACUCGCUCUCAUGGUACACUGUAUGAUUCCUGACCAG